CACAUCAUGAAAGCCGCUCGUACCCGAAGUCAUUGCAUCAACCGCAAGGAGAUAGAUGCCGAAGGUAUGGGUGGUGAUUGGGAUG
This 85-nucleotide ribosomal RNA is filed under the name uncultured bacterium. RNAcentral describes it as "partial 16S ribosomal RNA". It matches the Rfam family "Bacterial small subunit ribosomal RNA", at positions 1398 to 1482 of the family's 1533-position model. The record is from RNAcentral.